AACGAACGCUGGCGGCAGGCUUAACACAUGCAAGUCGAACGCCCCGCCAGGGGAGUGGCCGACGGGUGAGUAACGCGUGGGAACAUACCCUUUUCUACGGAAUAGCUCUGGGAAACUGGAAUUAAUACCGUAUACGCCCUACGGGGGAAAGAUUUAUCGGGGAAGGAUUGGCCCGCGUUGGAUUAGCUAGUUGGUGGGGUAAAGGCCUACCAAGGCGACGAUCCAUAGCUGGUCUGAGAGGAUGAUCAGCCACAUUGGGACUGAGACACGGCCCAAACUCCUACGGGAGGCAGCAGUGGGGAAUAUUGGACAAUGGGCGCAGGCCUGAUCCAGCCAUGCCGCGUGAGUGAUGAAGGCCUUAGGGUUGUAAAGCUCUUUCACCGAUGAAGAUAAUGACGGUAGUCGGAGAAGAAGCCCCGGCUAACUUCGUG
RNAcentral lists this ribosomal RNA (431 nucleotides) under uncultured bacterium. Its description in RNAcentral is "partial 16S ribosomal RNA". It matches the Rfam family "Bacterial small subunit ribosomal RNA", at positions 29 to 507 of the family's 1533-position model. The record is from RNAcentral.